This 549-nucleotide ribosomal RNA is filed under the name Escherichia coli. Its description in RNAcentral is "bacterial LSU rRNA". It matches the Rfam family "Bacterial large subunit ribosomal RNA", at positions 1 to 580 of the family's 2925-position model. Lineage: Bacteria; Pseudomonadati; Pseudomonadota; Gammaproteobacteria; Enterobacterales; Enterobacteriaceae. The record is from RNAcentral. RNAcentral also lists the same sequence under 1 other name.
GGGUUGUGAGGUUAAGCGACUAAGCGUACACGGUGGAUGCCCUGGCAGUCAGAGGCGAUGAAGGACGUGCUAAUCUGCGAUAAGCGUCGGUAAGGUGAUAUGAACCGUUAUAACCGGCGAUUUCCGAAUGGGGAAACCCAGUGUGAUUCGUCACACUAUCAUUAACUGAAUCCAUAGGUUAAUGAGGCGAACCGGGGGAACUGAAACAUCUAAGUACCCCGAGGAAAAGAAAUCAACCGAGAUUCCCCCAGUAGCGGCGAGCGAACGGGGAGGAGCCCAGAGCCUGAAUCAGUGUGUGUGUUAGUGGAAGCGUCUGGAAAGGCGCGCGAUACAGGGUGACAGCCCCGUACACAAAAAUGCACAUACUGUGAGCUCGAUGAGUAGGGCGGGACACGUGGUAUCCUGUCUGAAUAUGGGGGGACCAUCCUCCAAGGCUAAAUACUCCUGACUGACCGAUAGUGAACCAGUACCGUGAGGGAAAGGCGAAAAGAACCCCGGCGAGGGGAGUGAAAAAGAACCUGAAACCGUGUACGUACAAGCAGUGGGAGC